CAGCCCUAAACGAUGCGCGUUAGGUGUAUCGGUGACCACGAGUCACCGAGGUGCCGAAGGGAAACCGUGAAACGUGCCGCCUGGGAAGUACGGUCGCAAGGCUGAAACUUAAAGGAAUUGGCGGGGGAGCACCACAACGGGUAGAGCCUGCGGUUUAAUUGGACUCAACGCCGGGAAGCUCACCGGAUAAGACAGCGGAAUGAUUGCCGGGCUGAAGACCCUGCAUGACCAGCUGAGAGGAGGUGCAUGGCGUGUGACUGU
Molecule: ribosomal RNA, 261 nt
Filed under: uncultured archaeon
Lineage: Archaea
Description: partial 16S ribosomal RNA
Rfam family: Archaeal small subunit ribosomal RNA
Source: RNAcentral